RNAcentral lists this long non-coding RNA (1567 nucleotides) under Nicotiana tabacum (common tobacco). Its description in RNAcentral is "long non-coding RNA (NTAB_LNC003355)". Lineage: Eukaryota; Viridiplantae; Streptophyta; Magnoliopsida; Solanales; Solanaceae. The record is from RNAcentral.
GCUCGUCGAAGUACAAAAUUUAUUUAAAAGUAGAAGAGAAUGGACCUUUACAAUUGCUUGACUGUUUCCUUCAAAAUUCGAACAAGAAUAAAUCUCUGACCGGAGCCGGAACCACUAAACGGAGACCUCAUCGGCGAGAUCGAACUGCGACCUUGAACCCGACCAAAGCUAUGGAUGAAGACAUUGGACUGGAAGUAUCAGCUACAACAAAUGGGUUUCGGGUUGGUGUUUCAAUUGAUUUUGGGGCUAUUUUAUUGCGUUUUUGAGCUGGAGUUUCCAGCAAAUUUUUAUGGAGUUUCGAGGAAGGAAAGUGAAGUUUUUUGUGGAUGUAAAGAUGGAGAAGAGCUGGCUUUAAUAGAGUUUUAUGGCUGUGCUUUUCAUGGUGUUCCCACAGUGAAGGUGGAAGCAAGUAAAGAAGAAGGGAAAGAGAGAUCUACUGUUGCUGCACGCGAGAAGAAGAAGAAGAAGGCACUGCUUGGAUUUUAGUCCUCAAAUCGUUCUCUUUUCCCGGAUCUAUUUACUUUUUUUUUUCAUUUCCCCCAUAUUUUUGUUUCCUCCCUCUAUCUCUAUUUUCCAGGUGCUCUCCUUGUUUUUUACGUCCUCCAGAUCUAUCCUUUCUCAACCUUUGUGCCCCCCUCCCUCCCAAAGUUUGGAGAUAUAGAGAUAACACCAAGACAACAAACCAAACGUGAACCUCUGGCCCGUCAACAUUGAAAGUAUUUUGAUUAGAGUCUUCGUUCAUGAUUUGCAAAUUAAUGGCAACAAAAUAUCAAAAUUAACAUGUCCAACAUGGUUUUUUUUAUCUCACAUUAAUACGAUUAAACAAGUAACUCAAUGAAACACCGUUAAGGCUCGUCGAAGUACGAAAUUUAUUUAAAAGUAGAAGAGAAUAGACCUUUAAAAUUGCUUGACUGUUUCCUUCAAAAUUCGAACAAGAAUGAACCUCUGACCGGAGCCGGAACCGCUAAACGGAGACCUCACCGGCGAGAUCGAACUGUGACUUUGAACCCGACCAAAGCUAUGGAUGGAGACGUUUGAUUGGGAAGUAUCAGCUACAACAAAUGGGUUUUAGGUUGGUGUUUCAAUGAAUUUUAGGGCUGUUUUAUUGCGUUUUUUAGCUGGAGUUUCCAGCUGAUUUUUAUGGAGUUUCGAAGAAGGAAAGUGAAGUUUUGUGUGGAUGUAAAGAUGGAGAAGAACUGGCUUUAAUGGAAUUUAUUGGCUGUGCUUUUCAUGGUGUUCCCAAAGUGAAGGUGAAAGCAAGUAAAGAAGAAAGAAAAGAGAGAUCUACUGUUGCUGCACGCGAGAAGAAGAAGAAGAAGGCACUACUUGGAUUUUAGUCCUCAAAUCGUUCUCUUUUCCCGGAUUUAUUUCCUCUUUUUUCCAUUUCCCCCUUGUUUUUGUUUUCUCCCUCUAUCUCUAUUUCCCAGGUGCUCUCUCUGUUAUUUACGUCGUCCAGAUCUAUCCUUUUUCAACCUUUGUGCCUCCCUCCCCCUUAGUGAAGGUCUGCUAGGUCUAAAAUAAUAGAGAGUGGGCGUGGAUUUUUUGACAAGGUAAAAGAGGGGGUCUG